AGCGAACGCUGGCGGCAGGCCUAACACAUGCAAGUCGAACGAGCACUUCGGGCUUAGUGGCGGACGGGUGAGUAACACGUGGGAACGUGCCCUUAGGUUCGGAAUAACUCUGGGAAACUUGUGCUAAUACCGAAUGUGCCCUUUGGGGGAAAGAUUUAUCGCCUUGAGAUCGGCCCGCGUCUGAUUAGCUAGUUGGUUGAGGAAAUGGCUCACCAAGGCGCCGAUCAGUAGUUGGUCUGAGAGGUUGAUAAGCCACAUUGGGACUGAGACACGGCCCAAACUCCUACGGGAGGCAGCAGUGGGGAAUCUUGCGCAAUGGGCGAAAGCCUGACGCAGCCAUGCCGCGUGAAUGAUGAAGGUCUUAGGAUUGUAAAAUUCUUUCACCGGGGACGAUAAUGACGGUACCCGGAGAAGAAGCCCCGGCUAACUUCGUG
RNAcentral lists this ribosomal RNA (434 nucleotides) under uncultured bacterium. RNAcentral describes it as "partial 16S ribosomal RNA". It matches the Rfam family "Bacterial small subunit ribosomal RNA", at positions 29 to 507 of the family's 1533-position model. The record is from RNAcentral.